This 725-nucleotide long non-coding RNA is filed under the name Equus caballus (horse). Its description in RNAcentral is "lncRNA (ENSECAG00000045518.1)". Lineage: Eukaryota; Metazoa; Chordata; Mammalia; Perissodactyla; Equidae. The record is from RNAcentral.
AGCAAGGGGAGGAAGUGAGGUGGAGCAAUGGCCAAGUAGGGGAUCAAGUAACACCUUGGAAGCUGUGGUCAGAUCGUAGCUGUCAUUGCAAGUGCAAUGGGAGGACAGACACGAGAGAGUUUUGAGCACCUGUUUUACAUUUUAAAUUCCUCAUCUGGCAGCUGUGCGCUUCAGAGACAGCAGGACAAGCAGAGUGGAAGCAAGGGUAGCAGUUUGCCAAUCUGAUGGGUGAAAUACAGUGUUUCAAUUGUUUUCCCUAACUCCUAGUAAGCAAUUGCUGUCCGCUGCACAGCUGCAGGAGCACAGGAAAGCCUACUGAGGUGCUCUGUGAAAGGAUAAUCUGGGAAGCUCAGAAACCUUCAUCUGUUCAUCCUUAAAAUAUGCACAUGGGUUUGCUUGGUUGUCUCCUCUUCCUGAUCAUGCGGGUACAGAGGGUUCUAGAGAGGAACUUCCCACAAAGGGAAGGGAGCUGAGACUCCAGCCCUCUUUCCACAAUAUCUCCAGAAAUGCUGGCAGCCAUGUUCUUACCUUCCCUGGAUAAAAUUGAAGGUGGGGGAAGGACUACAGAGGAGAAAACUGUCCAGAAAAAAAAGUUGAAAGUCCUGGCAGAGAUAAACCACAUGACAGCAAUCUCAUCAACUAAGAAGCAUGAAGUGAAAAAGCAUCCACACACUCCAGCUGCCUCAAGAGUUACAAGAGGAUUUGUGUUAUUUAUUCACUUUUCA